RNAcentral lists this ribosomal RNA (254 nucleotides) under uncultured bacterium. Its description in RNAcentral is "partial 16S ribosomal RNA". It matches the Rfam family "Bacterial small subunit ribosomal RNA", at positions 524 to 776 of the family's 1533-position model. The record is from RNAcentral.
CACGUAGGGGGCAAGCGUUGUCCGGAUUUAUUGGGCGUAAAGAGCUCGUAGGCGGUUCGGUAAGUCGGGUGUGAAACCUCCAGGCUCAACCUGGAGACGCCACCCGAUACUGCUGUGACUUGAGUCCGGUAGGGGAGCGUGGAAUUCCUGGUGUAGCGGUGAAAUGCGCAGAUAUCAGGAGGAACACCAGCGGCGAAGGCGGCGCUCUGGGCCGGAACUGACGCUGAGGAGCGAAAGCGUGGGUAGCAAGCAGG